Molecule: transfer RNA, 66 nt
Filed under: Rhagophthalmus lufengensis
Lineage: Eukaryota; Metazoa; Arthropoda; Insecta; Coleoptera; Rhagophthalmidae
Description: tRNA-His
Source: RNAcentral
AUUUAAAUAGUUUAAUUAAAAUUUUAGUUUGUGGUUCUGAAGAUGCAUUAAUAUAUGUUUUAAAUA